AGAAAAUCAAUUCUCCUCAAAUUUCAUCAAUUCAUCAAAAUGCAAAUGGAAACCAAUUUUUUGAUUCCAUUUUUCACAAUUUUCAUCCAAUUGAUGUCUACUCAUGUGAAACCCCAGCUGAUCGAGUCGCAAUUGAAUUUUCCUAGCUGUCCGGCGACUGAUCCGGCACUUAAUUACCGGCCGGUCAUCGGAAUUGUGAGUCAUCCCGGCGACGGAGCUUCCGGUCGUCUCAACAACGCCAGUGAUGUCUCAUACAUAGCUGCUUCUUAUGUCAAGUUUGCUGAAAUGGCUGGUGCUAGAGUCAUUCCCCUUAUAUACACUGAGCCUCCCCAAGUUCUCAAUCAAAAGCUUAAUCUAGUAAAUGGCAUUAUCUUCACUGGAGGUUGGGCCAAAGAUGGUCUAUAUUUUGAUGUUAUUAAAGGAAUUUUCCAGAAAGUUUUGGAGAAGAACGAUGCUGGUGAACACUUUCCUUUACUUGCAAUCUGCUUGGGGUAUGAACUUUUAACGAUGAUCAUCACCAAUGACAACAAUAUUCUUGAGGAAUUCAGUGCAGCGAGCCAAGCAUCUACAGUACAGUUUGUGGAAAAUGUAAAUAUUGAAGGAACAAUAUUCGGAAGAUUUCCCCCCGUGUUGCUAAAGAAGAUGAGUAUAGAUUGCCUUGUGAUGCAAAAUCAUCAUUUUGGUAUAUCACCAGAAAGAUUUCAAGUGAAUAAAGAUUUGAGUAGCUUUUUCAGGGUAUUGACUACUAGUACAGAUGAAAACAACAAGGUCUAUGUCUCUACUAUUCAAGCACAACGCUAUCCUAUAGCUGCUUUCCAAUGGCAUCCAGAGA
Molecule: unclassified non-coding RNA, 832 nt
Filed under: Hevea brasiliensis (rubber tree)
Lineage: Eukaryota; Viridiplantae; Streptophyta; Magnoliopsida; Malpighiales; Euphorbiaceae
Source: RNAcentral